GGUUACAUAUAUAGAGGAGUUGGGUUAGAAUACUCUUAAUAAUAUUUAUCUUUUUUUGCUAUUAAAUUUUUAGUAUUGGGUUAAUUUUUUGAUCAUUUCUAACCAUUUGAUUAAAUAUUAUAAUUCAGUGGGGAUCACUAAAUCCUAGGGGGACCACUCAACCGUAAGAGACUAAUAUUAUCUUAACCUUAUAAUUUCUCAUGCAAGGAUUAAAAAUCUGAUAGCAAAAGGGACCAAAUAUUAUCAAUAGUAUUCCAGCCAAACUCUAUAUAUAGAGUUGAGCUGGAAUACUAUUAGUAGCAAACGGAUUUCGUUGCCACUCAUUUCUUUCAAUGAUGGAGCUUCCAAAUUGACGAUCGGUACCGUUGAACAUGAUUAAUUUAUACCCCUCGAAGUAUCAAGGAACUAAAUUUCCAAAGCAUAGGAGAUGUUCCUCAUAUAUAUAUAUAUAUAUAUAUAUAUAUAUAGAGUUGGACUGGGCUACUAUUAGUAGCAAAAUUCCGUUGUUGCUACCAGUUUUUUAGCCUUUGGAUCAACUCUUUUCAUUAUUUCUAACCAUUGGAUUAAAUACUAUAACCCAGUGGGGACCACUCAACCCUAGGGGGACCACUCAACUAUAACCGACUAAUAUCAUCCUGACCCUAUAAUUUUGCAUCCAAGGGUUAAAAAUUUGAUAGCAAAAAAUACGUUUUACUAUGAAUAGUAUUCCAGUCUAAUUCUAUAUAUAUAUAUAUAUAUAUAUAUAUAUAUAUAUAUNUAUAUAUAUAUAUAUAUAUAUAUAUAUAUAUAGAGCGAGAGAGAGAGGGAGAGAGGGAGAGAGAGUAAGGCUACUAGACUCUUACAAGUAUAGAACCCUUUGUACUCAUAAGUUGUUUUUGAUGAUAGAGUUUCCGAAUCGACAAUCCACUACGUUAAAUAUGCUGUAGACACUACAACAAAAACGGUCUAUAGCAACACUUUUAAAUGUAGGUACAUGUCAAAAAAGUGCUGCUAGCUAAAAUUACCGACACUUUUAAAAAGUGUUGCUAUAUGUGGGGUCGCUAGGUAUAUAGUGACAGUUAAAGAGUGUCGCUAUAACCUAAAAGAGUGCUGCUAAUUUACCAACACUUAUUUAAGCAUUUAGCAACCGCUGAAACUCUAUCUCGUUAGCUGCAGUUGCGGAGAAGGAUGACAGUAAAAGCUUUUCGUCUAGAAUUUCAGUGGAUUGAGUGAAGAGAGAAGAAAAAAUGGUAAUUGAUUUUUCUUUCUUUUUUUUUCUUUUCUGUUUGUAAUCGGGCCAAAUGGACUGGGUGUGGUGGGUUGAGUAGAGUAAUCUUUUAUUUUUGGUUGGAUUGGGCUUUAUAUUUAGGCAUUAGUAGAUGUGUUUUUAAGUUUUAGUAUAAAUGGGACACUUACUCAAAAAGGUCCCAAACAUGUGUCUCUAUAACCUAAUUCUGUUGUAGUGAGAGUAUUUAAAACUUCUAAAAAUUAAAUUUCAUAAUUUUUUAAAAUUAUAUUAAAAUUCAUCAAGCGGGCAUAAAAUAAAAAGUCAAAAUCGAACGACGUCCUAAAAAUAGUUGAUCAGAUCCUUCAAUUUAAGAUGAGAGUUAUUGAUCUUUUAUUUAGACAAUGAAUAAAAUUUUCUAUAAAAAAAUCAACCGAUUUUGAUUUCUUUUACAUUGUUAAACUAGCAAAUAUUCCAUACUGGCAGUUAAAAAUUGUCAAUUUUAAGAUCUUUUGAUCGUAAGGCAAAUAAUGUCAAAAAAUUAUAAAAUUUGAUUUUUAAAUCGAGAGUUGCGUUAGAAUACUAUUGAUAACAAAAGUUCCAUUUUGCUAUCAAGUUUUUAGCUUUUGGAAUAAUUCCUUUUAUCAUAUCUAACCAUUAGAUUAAAUAUUAUAACCCAGUGGGGACCACUCAACCCUAGGGGGACCACUACUCAUAAGAGUAUAGUAGCCCUACUCUAUAUAUAUAUAUAUAUAUAGGCCGUGGCUACUAUACUAUUAUGAGUAUUGGAGUCCUCGUACUCAUAAGUUGUUUUCGACGAUGGAGCUUCCGAAUCAACGAUCUACUCCGUUAAAUAUGAUCUAGAGUAUUUGAAAUUUCUAGAAAAUAAAUUUCGUAAAUUUUCGAAAUCAUAAUAAAGUCCAUCAAGUGGGCAUAAAAUGAAUGGUCAAAAUCGAACGACGUUCUAAAAAAAGAUGAUCGGAUCGUUCAAUUCAAGAUCGGAGUUAUUGAUCUUUACCUAUGUAGUGAAUAGAAUUUUCUAUCAAAAAUUCAACAAAUUCAGAUUCUUUUACACCGUUAAACUAGCAAGUAUCCCAUACCGGCCGUUAAAAAUUGUCAAAUUUGUGACCUCUUAAUCGUAAGGUAAAUGAUGUCGAAAAAUUAUAAAAUUUGAUUUCUAGAAGUUUUAAAUGCUGUAAAUAACGUUUAACUGUGUGGAUCGUCGAUUAGGAAGCUCUAUCAUCGAAAACAACUUAUGAGUAUGAGGGCGAUCGCACUCAUAA
RNAcentral lists this long non-coding RNA (2487 nucleotides) under Ananas comosus (pineapple). RNAcentral describes it as "long non-coding RNA (ACOM_LNC014774)". The record is from RNAcentral. Lineage: Eukaryota; Viridiplantae; Streptophyta; Magnoliopsida; Poales; Bromeliaceae.